Molecule: ribosomal RNA, 443 nt
Filed under: uncultured bacterium
Lineage: Bacteria
Description: bacterial SSU rRNA
Rfam family: Bacterial small subunit ribosomal RNA
Source: RNAcentral
UCCUACGGGGGGCAGCAGUAGGGAAUAUUGCUCAAUGGGCGAAAGCCUGAAGCAGCAACGCCGCGUGCGCGAUGAAGGUCUUCGGAUCGUAAAGCGCUUUUCUGCGAGAUGAGAAAGGACAGUAUCGCAGGAAUAAGUCUCGGCUAACUACGUGCCAGCAGCCGCGGUAACACGUAGGAGGCGAGCGUUAUCCGGAUUCACUGGGCGUAAAGCGCGUGCAGGCGGUUUGGUAAGUUGGGCGUGAAAGCUCCCGGCUCAACUGGGAGAGGUCUUUCAAUACUACCAGACUAGAGAGCAGAAGAGGAAGAUGGAAUUCCCGGUGUAGUGGUGAAAUGCGUAGAUAGCGGGAGGAACACCAGUGGCGAAGGCGAUCUUCUGGUCUGUUUCUGACGCUCAGACGCGACAGCUAGGGUAGUAAACGGGAUUAGAUACCCCGGUAGUCU